UAGGGAAUCUUCGGCAAUGGGGGGAACCCUGACCGAGCAACGCCGCGUGAGUGAAGAAGGUUUUCGGAUCGUAAAGCUCUGUUGUUAAGGAAGAACGAGUGUGAGAAUGGAAAGUUCAUACUGUGACGGUACUUAACCAGAAAGGGACGGCUAACUACGUGCCAGCAGCCGCGGUAAUACGUAGGUCCCGAGCGUUGUCCGGAUUUAUUGGGCGUAAAGCGAGCGCAGGCGGUUAGAUAAGUCUGAAGUUAAAGGCAGUGGCUCAACCAUUGUAGGCUUUGGAAACUGUUUAACUUGAGUGCAGAAGGGGAGGGUGGAAUUCCAUGUGUAACGGUGAAAUGCGUAGAUAUAUGGAGGAACACCGGUGGCGAAAGCGGCUCUCUGGUCUGUAACUGACGCUGAGGCUCGAAAGCGUGGGGAGCGAACAGG
This 429-nucleotide ribosomal RNA is filed under the name Bacteroidota bacterium. Its description in RNAcentral is "Bacteroidetes bacterium partial 16S ribosomal RNA". It matches the Rfam family "Bacterial small subunit ribosomal RNA", at positions 355 to 776 of the family's 1533-position model. The record is from RNAcentral. Lineage: Bacteria; Pseudomonadati; Bacteroidota.